This 463-nucleotide ribosomal RNA is filed under the name uncultured bacterium. Its description in RNAcentral is "partial 16S ribosomal RNA". It matches the Rfam family "Bacterial small subunit ribosomal RNA", at positions 28 to 507 of the family's 1533-position model. The record is from RNAcentral.
GAUGAACGCUGACAGAAUGCUUAACACAUGCGAGUCUUUGGUGAAGCUGUGCUUGCACAGCCUAGCCAAGGCGGACGGGUGAGUAACGCGUAAGGAACUUGCCCUGCAGUCAGGGAUAACAGACGGAAACGACUGAUAAGACCUGGUAAAGUCAGGCGGACUCAUGUCCAGCCUGAUGAAAAGAGAUGCUGCAGGAGAGCCUUGCGUCCUAUUAGCUUGUUGGUGGGGUAACGGCCCACCAAGGCAAUGAUAGGUAGCCGGCCUGAGAGGGUGGACGGCCACAAGGGGACUGAGAUACGGCCCUUACUCCUACGGGAGGCAGCAGUGGGGAAUAUUGGACAAUGGGGGCAACCCUGAUCCAGCAAUUCUGUGUGCACGAUGAAGGUUUUCGGAUUGUAAAGUGCUUUCAGCAGGGAAGAAAAAAAUGACGGUACCUGCAGAAGAAGCGACGGCUAAAUACGUG